Molecule: long non-coding RNA, 4602 nt
Filed under: Nicotiana tabacum (common tobacco)
Lineage: Eukaryota; Viridiplantae; Streptophyta; Magnoliopsida; Solanales; Solanaceae
Description: long non-coding RNA (NTAB_LNC002396)
Source: RNAcentral
GAAAUCAGGGUCAGUAAAAUCUUGACGUCUUCCACCUAGGGUUUUCCAAACACUCCACAAUCUAUCAAUAUUAGAAUGAUGAGCAUAGAAAAUAGGGUCUCUAGCAGCUGAAUAAAAAUCUCCCAUGUUUUCAAAAUUCGGUUGGGUUCUAUCACCGGUCCAAACAUGGACCGGUCCAUGAGGAAUGUUCUCGAGGGACCCACCUCCACCGGGCUGACCACCGGCCCGGUAAGGGUCUCCGAGAAAAGUCGCCGGAGUACUUCCAAGAGAAACCAUUUGCCUAUACAUGGUAGUGAGAUUCUGGGAAGUUUGUUGAGCGUUACUUAUGUUAGGAUCCGUUCCAUUGAAGUCGAGAUCGACCAUGACCGGAGGCUGAUGCCUCCGAUCACGGAGAGGAUCGUAGAGAGAAGAACUACGGUUCGCAUACAUGGCAGGAACUCUCAUCCCAUCAGGAUGAUCCCAGUUCCAAAAUGGGAUAGCGAAGUUAGGGUCAUUAAUUAAACUACCCAAGAUUUUUUCGAAGAAGUAGAGGUAACAACGAUGGAAAGGGUGGAAAAGCCAGGAGAAAUGAACUUGGAGUUCAGAGUUUGGGAAACCUAGUUGGUCAUAAGCACCAUCACAGUAAGCACAAUGAACAUUUGCUUGGUUCUUGAAGCUACGUGGAUCGUCGUCUGGAAGUUGUUUCAUGAGCUGAAUAGCUCUGUUGAAUUUCUCUAUAUAGGCAUUAUCAGCGGUAUGAGCUGCAGGCCGAGUACGGAGGGUGGUUGACGGUGGUGGAAGUUGGAAGUCUAUGAUAUUCCCCGUUGUCGGAGGACAACAGUUGACUGGUGCUGCUCCUGUAAGAAAAAAAAAGAACAUAGCCAAAUUUGAGAAAAAAGGCUUUGAAGCAUAAAAACAACUCCAUAUUAUUUGGAAAAAUAUAGACAAGUUUUAUCAGAAUACAAUAAAGGUACAAUAUAUUACGCCUACAAAUUAACUUAACCAUUUCUCACAGUUGGCCUGGAUUAUAUUUAUCAGUUUAAUGUAUCAAGAUUUUUUUAUAUAUAAAGUUUUCAAGCUGACCAUUUUUGUGUUUCAACGUAAGACAAGAAUUACUUCAUAUAUAUUACAGACUAUGUAACAGUACCUGGUGGCAAAUCUGCAGCGCCACAUUUGGAAACGUCAGGUCCGGGCACAGGAGCCGCGAAGGCAAAGGGAUGACCACCAACAAGAGUAGCAGCACCAUAAAUGCCUCCUAAUCCAAGUAGCAUGUUUCUUCUAUCAAUGAUCUUAUUGUUUGAAGAAUCAGAAGAUUUGGAAGUGUUGAUGGUUUGGUCAUCUUCUGUACCCUUGCAUGAAACUUGGAAACGAUAGUUACUGCACUUUCCUAUAGUGAAAACUUUUGAUGUCUUUGUAAAGAAAGGAGAAGAAUGCAAAUUGGAAAGAGGUGUGGUGGUUAAAGAAGAAGAUGAAGAAGAGAUGACAUUGGUGGUGAGAGGGGGAAGAGAAGCCAUUACUAUAAUUUUUGCUUUGUUUGAGGUGUAGUUCAUGAACAUCUAGGAUUAGCAUUUAUAUAGAAUAUGGAGCAAAGACUUUCCCCUAUAAACUUAUGGUGAAAAAGAAAAAUAAUACUAACCAAAAAGAAAUACAUGUCAGGAAGAUGCUUGCAUAUCUUAACUUCCAGCAGCACGUGAUUUUCUUCGUAUUUAUUUGUUUGUUUAAUUCGUAAUUUGAAAUCAUUAAUACAAAAAUCCACGUUCGUCUGAGGUGUUGUAAGACCUUUUUAUUUAUUUAUUUACAAGAAUGUAAGAACUUGAGUGAUCACUGCACAGCAUAAUACAGAAAUGGAAUUGUCCUUCUAGAUAUAGCUGGUUGGUUUAGAUUUUAGAAUUAAGAAAUUAAUGAUUUUUUCAAAUAUUGUGUCUGCCGUGUCAAAAUUUAAUUAGUUUAGACUUAUUUUUUUUAUUUACAAUUAAGAGCAAGUUCCGAUGCAAUCUCAAAACAGGAAGCAGCUUAUGAAGCUUCAACGCCUUCAAUUAUUCAACAAUUCAACAUGUAGAUAGAUAAUGGUGUUAACCAAUAUUAUAUUGUAAAUAUUUCGGGUUAGUGAGAGUCUUGAAGGGAGCACAUUUUUGACAUAGAAGGGAGCACAUUUUUAGGACAUUUUAGGAGAGGACAUUUUUAGGAGGGAUAGUUUUUAGAGAGGAUUAUUUUUGGAGAGAGGAAGACAUUCUGAAAAUCCUAAGAGAGUGUUGGAGAGUUUAAAAAGAAAAAACAAAAAUAAAGUGAGAGACGAGUUUAGUUUCGGGUUUAAUACACGCGUGAUUGAGUCUGUUUGUGAUGACGUGGGUUGUUGCUGUUUAGUAAUUCAAAUAAACAGGGGAAAAUAUUGCUCAUAAUUAACAAGUAGAUCAGUUUUACAAGUGCGUAUUAUUUUAUUUAUCCAGUUAGGCAAAGAAUCAAGACGUGCAGCCUUGUAUAACAUCAACCGACCAUUCAGUAUAAUGUCGAAAGAGUAGAAUAAGUGGAAAUUAAAAUAAUCUUGCUAAUUUUUUAAAUGCAGGUUAGAGGAUGCUAAAACCCUACAACGAGAGUGCUCGCAUAGCAAAAAGACCAUUGAGGUAGGGAAAAUUUUAUUUUGUCUGUCAUGCAACUAACAUUAGUUGUAUGAGGCAAUUUUUUUGUUUCACAAUUUUGUGGACCCAGAUUUCUGUGAACCCAGAAAUGUAAGAUUGAGGUCCACAAAUUUGUGAGAUAAAAAGGAGCCUCAUACAACUAGUAUAAGUUGUAUAAGACACAAAAUAAAACUUCUCGGAAGGUAGUACUGGUUUGCCCAUUCGGAUUUGUAAAUGCUGAACUUCAAUAUUUAAAAUGGUAGUGAACUCUUAAAAAACUUGUUAAAUAAGUUAAGCAAAUAAGUGCUCGUUUGGAUGAGUUUUUUAAAAUGAUUUUAAGCAAAUAAGUUAAGAAUUCUAGCUUUUGGCUUUUGGCUUGUUUUUGUCAUUUUAGCUUAAAAAUACGUGCUUAAAAGCACUUUUGUUACUUUAUCCAAAUACUACAAAAUGACUUAAAAGCUAUUUUGGCUUAAAAGCACUUAGUGGACGUUUGAACAUAAGAAUUGUAAAAUUCCAAAAAAAAAAAAUAAAAAAAAAUUCAAGUGAAAAUGAUAUUUGAAAUUUAGAGUUGUAUUUGGACAUGAAUAUCAUUUUGGAUUAUUUUUGAAGUUUUGUGAGUGAUCUGAGUGAAAAUUUUGAAAAACAAUUUUUUGGAGUUUUUCAAAUUUUCGAAAAAUUCCAAAAUACAUCUUAUGAAUAAACGAUGGUAACCUAUUUCCUGGAGGUGCGUGUUGGACUAACAUGGCCACCAAUCGACGACCUCACACUAGGAAAUAAUGUAAAAUUGGAAAUUGCCCUACUUAAUUAGUUUGAAAAACUACUAGUUGUAGUUAUAAUACAUGUAGAAGAAAAUGAUAAAAUAUCCAUGUAAGUAGUUUUCUUCCUUUAUUCCAUUCAAACACGCUUACAAUAUCAAGAAACUUAAAAUGCUUAAUUCAUUGAGGAAAUUGAUUAAAACCCUUUUAUUUUUCUAGUCAUAAUCAAUUCUCAAAGAUAGCGGGAAUACAGAAAUAUAAAAUAAGGUUGCGUAUAAUAGACUCUUGCGGUCUGAUCCUUUCCCGAAUCCCGUGUAUAGCGGGAGCUUAGUGCACUAGGUGUCAAUCAAUCCUCAAGCACAAUCUUGACACCUCCAAUUUUUACAGCACCAGAACCAUUCUUUGGAACAAAAGUCACCACCACAUGAUCAUCAUCCUCAGCAUCUAAAUCUUCCAACAGCUCAGUUAUAGCCAACUUCAACUUAGUUUUACGUUUCUUGUCACUCUUACCAUGACUAUGAUGUGGCACGUUAACAAAACUACCUGCAAACUCAGCAUUAUUCGGCGAAAUUACAGUCUCAUCUUCAUCAUUAAUCAACACAUCAAACUUGACAAAAACAUCAGUUUCCAGCUCUAUCCCUUCAACUACUAAAAACUCCUCUUUUGCAUCUUUCUCCUUCUUGUUUCUCUUCUUAAUUGGCCUCUUUACCAUAACUCUUAUCACAUGGUCAAGUUUCGUUGGGAAAACAUCUUUUGCACUUGGAAAAUUAUCAGCUGCUCUUGCUUCAACAAGCCUCCUUACACUACUCAAAGCACUUGAAACCCUAGCCCUUGGACGAGAAUUUAUCCACGGAUUAGCUACACCUUGAUAAACGUAUCCAAGUCUUGUUGUAUCCAAACAGUCACGUACCCUAAUACGUACCAUUUGUGCUUUCUCAUCAUAAAACAAAAACGAAGCAUUUAAGAAAUCAGGGUCAGUAAAAUCUUGACGUCUUCCACCUAGGGUUUUCCAAACACUCCACAAUCUAUCAAUAUUAGAAUGAUGAGCAUAGAAAAUAGGGUCUCUAGCAGCUGAAUAAAAAUCUCCCAUGUUCUCAAAAUUAGGUUGGGUUCUAUCACCGGUCCAAACAUGGACCGGUCCAUGUGGAAUGUUCUCGAGGGACCCAGCACCACCCGGUUCGCCACCGGCACGGUAAGGGUCUCCGAGGAAAGUCGCUGGAGUACUUCCUAGUGAAACCAUUUGCCUAUACAUG